GCAGGGAUUCCCGAGCCUGGUUAAAGGGGUGGGACUUAAGAUCCCAUGACUUAGCGUCUUCGCUGGUUCAAAUCCAGCUCCCUGCA
RNAcentral lists this transfer RNA (86 nucleotides) under archaeon. RNAcentral describes it as "tRNA-Leu". It matches the Rfam family "tRNA". From Rfam's summary of the family: Transfer RNA (tRNA) molecules are approximately 80 nucleotides in length. Their secondary structure includes four short double-helical elements and three loops (D, anti-codon, and T loops). The record is from RNAcentral.